UGGGGUAUAGCCAAGUGGUAAGGCACCGGAUUCUGAUUCCGACAUUCCCAGGUUCAAAUCCUGGUACCCCAGCCA
Molecule: transfer RNA, 75 nt
Filed under: Sodalis sp. Ffu
Lineage: Bacteria; Pseudomonadati; Pseudomonadota; Gammaproteobacteria; Enterobacterales; Bruguierivoracaceae
Also listed under: 2 other names
Description: tRNA-Gln
Rfam family: tRNA
About the family: Transfer RNA (tRNA) molecules are approximately 80 nucleotides in length. Their secondary structure includes four short double-helical elements and three loops (D, anti-codon, and T loops).
Source: RNAcentral